This 493-nucleotide ribosomal RNA is filed under the name uncultured bacterium. RNAcentral describes it as "bacterial SSU rRNA". It matches the Rfam family "Bacterial small subunit ribosomal RNA", at positions 15 to 507 of the family's 1533-position model. The record is from RNAcentral.
GAUCAUGGCUCAGAUUGAACGCUGGCGGAAUGCUUUACACAUGCAAGUCGAGCGGCAGCGGCGGGGGCAACCCUGGCGGCGAGCGGCGAACGGGUGAGUAACAUAUCGGAACGUACCCAGUCGUGGGGGAUAACUAUCCGAAAGGAUAGCUAAUACCGCAUACGUCCUGAGGGAGAAAGCGGGGGAUCGCAAGACCUCGCGCGAUUGGAGCGGCCGAUAUCGGAUUAGCUAGUUGGUGGGGUAAAGGCUCACCAAGGCGACGAUCUGUAGCGGGUCUGAGAGGAUGAUCCGCCACACUGGGACUGAGACACGGCCCAGACUCCUACGGGAGGCAGCAGUGGGGAAUUUUGGACAAUGGGCGCAAGCCUGAUCCAGCCAUGCCGCGUGAAGGAUGAAGGCCCUAUGGGUUGUAAACUUCUUUUGUACGGGAAAAAACCUUCUUACGUGUAAGAAGCUGAUUGUACUGUAAGAAUAAGGAUCGGCUAACUCCGUG